RNAcentral lists this long non-coding RNA (1095 nucleotides) under Mytilus galloprovincialis (Mediterranean mussel). Lineage: Eukaryota; Metazoa; Mollusca; Bivalvia; Mytilida; Mytilidae. The record is from RNAcentral.
UUUCUCAUAGAGGAUGUGUCAUCAUGCUUUGUCUUCUAGUCAUCAAGUUUGAAUGUGCAAGUACGUGUAUGUCUAGUGCUCCAGAAGAAUGUCCUAAGCUGUUUUGUAAAUGUCAAAAGAAAUCGAAUGGAAAAGCCGUGUGUUCAGGCCGAUCUUUAAAUUACAUUCCAAGACUUCCAAAAUAUGUUCGGUCUGUUAUAUUCACGAAUACAAGUAUAAGAGCAAUAGACAAAUGUGGAUUGGUCAAUUUAACAUUUCAACAAAUAGAAAAAAUAAACUUCACUGGUAAUGAUUUACACAGUAUUGACAAGGACGCAUUUCUAAAUUUGACUUUCCUAGCUUCGCUUAUUGUAUCAUCGGAACCUCAUUUGAAUAUUUCUGCCCUUAAAUUGUCUUUUCAGAGUUUGCCAAAGUUAAAGAUUUAUGAAUUAGGCUUCAAUUUUAAUUUGUGGAAAUCCCUUCCUAGAGAUAUGUUUAACAAUUAUCAUGUAAGCAAUGUUAAGCAUUUGAUUUUGCAAGGCAAUAGCUUUACAUAUAUUAACUUUACGACAUUCAAAACCAUGUCAGGUUUAAAAGAAAUAUCUCUUGCCAAUAACGAAAUAAGCCAUGUUACUUUAACCAAGUUAACUUCAUUAACCAACUUGGAUAUGAGUUCAAAUCAGCUUCCAAGUGUUCCGAUAUUUUGUGGAAGAAACAACACUAGUUAUUUUCCUAACUUGGAUACCAUAAUUUUAAGUCGAAACAUUAUUGGAUUUCUUGGAACCAAAUCAUUCCGUUGUUUACCAAAACUUUCAACGAUAUACUUGGAUUAUACAAGUAUUGGUAAACUUCAAGAUAAUGUGUUUGCCUCUCUACCAUCUCUACGAGCGUUACAUUUGCUUAGAAUCGGUAACCCUUUACGAUAUAUUUCACAAAACGCGUUCAAUAGUUCUUCGUUAGAGACAUUGAUGUUGCAGGGUUCACACUUUCAUUUUGAGAAACAGCACAGAUACCAUGCAAACAGAAUCUUUGCUUCUUGUCCAAAUCUACAACACUUAGACCUCACAAACAACUUUAUGCCAUCUGAUGAAUCAAUCUUCCAAACGAUUUUUAGGC